CCUACGGGAGGCAGCAGUGAGGAAUAUUGGUCAAUGGGCGCUAGCCUGAACCAGCCAAGUAGCGUGAAGGAUGACUGCCCUCUGGUUUGUAAGCUUCUUUUGUGUGGGGGUAAAGUGCAGUGUGUAUACUGCUUUGCAUGUACCUUAUGAAUAAGGCUCGGCUAACUCCGUGCCAGCAGCCGCGGUAAUACGGAGGAUCCGAUCGUUAUCCGGAUUUAUUGGGUUUAAAGGGAGCGUAGGCGGGUUGUUAAGUCAGAUGUGAAAGUUUGGGGCUCAACCGUAAAAUUGCAGUUGAUACUGGCAUCCUUGAGUACAGUAGAGGUAGGUGGAAUUCGUGGUGUAGCGGUGAAAUGCGUAGAUAUCAGGAAGAACACCGAUUGCGAAGGCAGCCUGCUGGACUGUAACUGACGCUGAGGCUCGAAAGUGUGGGUAUCAAACAGGAUUAGAUACCCUUGUAGUC
RNAcentral lists this ribosomal RNA (460 nucleotides) under uncultured bacterium. Its description in RNAcentral is "partial 16S ribosomal RNA". It matches the Rfam family "Bacterial small subunit ribosomal RNA", at positions 338 to 795 of the family's 1533-position model. The record is from RNAcentral.